This 254-nucleotide ribosomal RNA is filed under the name uncultured bacterium. RNAcentral's name for it is "partial 16S ribosomal RNA". It matches the Rfam family "Bacterial small subunit ribosomal RNA", at positions 524 to 776 of the family's 1533-position model. The record is from RNAcentral.
UACGGGGGGGGCAAGCGUUGUUCGGAAUUACUGGGCGUAAAGGGUUCGUAGGUGGCUUGCUAAGUCAGACGUGAAAUCCCUCAGCUUAACUGGGGAACUGCGUCUGAUACUGGCGAGCUUGAGUGCAGGAGAGGAACGCAGAAUUCCAGGUGUAGCGGUGAAAUGCGUAGAUAUCUGGAGGAAUACCGGUGGCGAAGGCGACUACCUGGCGUGUUUCUUGACGCUGAGGCGCGAAAGCUAGGGGAGCAAACGGG